Molecule: ribosomal RNA, 1173 nt
Filed under: Candidatus Roizmanbacteria bacterium
Lineage: Bacteria; Candidatus Roizmaniibacteriota
Description: bacterial SSU rRNA
Rfam family: Bacterial small subunit ribosomal RNA
Source: RNAcentral
GGAGGCAGCAGUGGGGAAUCUUGCACAAUGGACGAAAGUCUGAUGCAGCGAUUCCGCGUGGAGGAUGACGCAUUAUGGGGUGUAAACUCCUUUUCUGGUGGAAGAAGAAUGACGGUACACCAGGAAUAAGAGACGGCUAACUACGUGCCAGCAGCCGCGGUAAUACGUAGGUCUCAAGCGUUAUCCGGAUUUACUGGGCGUAAAGUGUCCGUAGACUGAUACAUAAGUCCGUUUUCAAAUACUCCGACUCAAUCAGAGAAAGGGGAUGGAUACUGUGUAUCUAGAAAUUAUUAGGGGUUAGUGGAAUUUCCGGUGGAGCGGUGAAAUGUGUUGAUAUCGGAAAGAACGCCGAAAGCGAAAGCAGCUAACUAUGAUAUUUCUGACGGUGAUGGACGAAAGCUUGAGUAGCAAACGGGAUUAGAUACCCCGGUAGUUCAAGCUGUAAAUUAUCCUCGCUAGGUGUCUCCAUAACUUUUGUGAUAGCAUAUGUUAUUAUAAAAGUUAUGGAGGUGCCGUAAGUUAACACGUUAAGCGAGGCGCCUGAGUAGUAUAUUCGCAAGAAUGAAACUCAAAGGGAUAGGCGGGGGAACACACAAGCAGUGGAUGAUCUAGAUUAAUUGGAUACUAAGCCAAGAAUCUUACCCAGACUUGACAUGGAUUGUGUCUACGAUGAAAGUCGUAUAGCUGUAGCAAUACAGCGCUUUUCACAGAUGGUGCAUGGUCGUCGUCAGCUCGUGCCGCAAGGUGUCUAGUUAAGUCUAGUAACGAGCGCAACCCUCAUCGUUAGUUAAAUAUGUCUAACGAGACUGCCCGCGUAAGCGGGAGGAAGGAGAGGAUGACGUCAGAUCCUCAUGCCUCUUACGUCUGGGGCUUCAUAGAUCAUACAAUGGGUAGUUACAGCGAGAAGCGAUACCGCAAGGUGGAGCAAAUCUUUAAAGCUACCCUCAGUUCGGAUUGUAGUCUGGAAUUCGACUACAUGAAGUUGGAAUUGCUAGUAAUGGCGAAUCAGCCAUGUCGCCGUGAAUAUGUCCCUGUUCCUUGCACUCACCGCCCGUCAAACCAUGGGAGUUGAGGUUCUUUGAAGACUCGCAUUGCGGGUUAAGGAGAAAAUCGAUGACUGGGGUUAAGUCGUAACAAGGUAUCCCUACCGGAAGGUGGGGAUAGACCACCACC